Molecule: ribosomal RNA, 491 nt
Filed under: uncultured bacterium
Lineage: Bacteria
Description: bacterial SSU rRNA
Rfam family: Bacterial small subunit ribosomal RNA
Source: RNAcentral
GAUGAACGCUAGCUACAGGCCUAACACAUGCAAGUCGCGGGGCAGCAUGUCGGUUGCUUGCAACCGAUGAUGGCGACCGGCGCACGGGUGAGUAACGCGUAUCCAACCUACCCCCACGGUGAGGGAUAACCCGCGGAAACGCGGCCUAAUACCUCAUGGUCUCCGAGUUUGACAUCAACCUUGGAGUAAAGAUUCAUUGCCGUGGGAUGGGGAUGCGUCUGAUUAGCUUGUUGGCGGGGUAACGGCCCACCAAGGCAACGAUCAGUAGGGGUUCUGAGAGGAAGGUCCCCCACAUUGGAACUGAGACACGGUCCAAACUCCUACGGGAGGCAGCAGUGAGGAAUAUUGGUCAAUGGGCGAGAGCCUGAACCAGCCAAGUAGCGUGCAGGACGACGGCCCUAUGGGUUGUAAACUGCUUUUAUAAGGGAAUAAAGUGAGUCUCGUGAGACUUUUUGCAUGUACCUUAUGAAUAAGGACCGGCUAAUUCCGUG